Molecule: ribosomal RNA, 497 nt
Filed under: uncultured bacterium
Lineage: Bacteria
Description: partial 16S ribosomal RNA
Rfam family: Bacterial small subunit ribosomal RNA
Source: RNAcentral
GAUGAACGCUGGCGGCGUGCCUAAUACAUGCAAGUCGAGCGAACAGACGAGGAGCUUGCUCCUCUGACGUUAGCGGCGGACGGGUGAGUAACACGUGGAUAACCUACCUAUAAGACUGGGAUAACUUCGGGAAACCGGAGCUAAUACCGGAUAAUAUAUUGAACCGCAUGGUUCAAUAGUGAAAGACGGUUUUGCUGUCACUUAUAGAUGGAUCCGCGCCGCAUUAGCUAGUUGGUAAGGUAACGGCUUACCAAGGCAACGAUGCGUAGCCGACCUGAGAGGGUGAUCGGCCACACUGGAACUGGGACACGGUCCAGACUCCUACGAGAGGCAGCAGUAGGGAAUCUUCCGCAAUGGGCGAAAGCCUGACGGAGCAACGCCGCGUGAGUGAUGAAGGUCUUCGGAUCGUAAAACUCUGUUAUUAGGGAAGAACAAAUGUGUAAGUAACUAUGCACGUCUUGACGGUACCUAAUCAGAAAGCCACGGCUAACUACGUG